Molecule: RNA transcript, 1118 nt
Organism: Cicer arietinum (chickpea)
Lineage: Eukaryota; Viridiplantae; Streptophyta; Magnoliopsida; Fabales; Fabaceae
Source: RefSeq, a predicted model, not a curated record
AUGAAUAGUUUUGAGAAGAAGAAGGAGUAAACACAAUGGCACACAAAAUCCUCUUCAGAACAACCUUCAUUCUCACCACUCUCAAACAAUUCACAACAACAAAAACUCACUCUUCCUUCCUUCAUCAUCUUCCAUUUCUCCACUCACAACAACAUUCCCCUUCAUUCCUCUUCACUCUCAAAAAUCAUCCAAUCUCACUUCACUCAACAACCACCGCCGCAACAACAACCGCCGCCGCCUCCGGUUACGGCGGUUACCUAGAAUUAACAGACGAUGAAUUAAUUCGACAGUGCGAAAUGGAUACGUUCAAAUCCUCUGGUCCUGGUGGUCAGCAUCGUAACAAACGUGAAUCUUCUGUUCGACUUAAACACUUACCCACUGGUAUCGUCGCUCAGGCUUCUGAGGAUCGGUCUCAGCAUAAGAACCGUGCUUCUGCUAUUAAUCGACUUCGAUCUCUUAUAGCUCUUAAAGUCAGGAAAACGGUAGAUCUUGAUGCGUAUUCACCACCUCGAGAGCUUCUUCAGAUACUUCCUCCCAAGUCAUCUAUUAGAGGGUCAGAUAUUGGUUCACAAAUUGGACCCAAUAAUCCAAAAUUCGCAAUGGUAUGUUCAGGGAAUGCAAGCUCUUCUGGAUCUCAUUUUUGCAGUUGAGGGGUCUGUCUCGGAUGCUGCGAAAUAUCUUGGGUUAUCAACUGGAGCAGUGUCUCGGUUAAUCCUAUCUGAUGAUUUACUUAGAAAGGAAGUAAAUGAUCUGCGGGCAUCAAAGGGUAUGAAGCCUCUCAAGUAAAAGCUCGAAAGCCCGACACAAUUGCAGAGGUUGAAAAUGAACAACAAUAUAGAAGCUGAUGAGAUUGUGAAGAGAGCUCAUUCUCCAGAACACAAUCACUAUAGUUGGAUAAAACUUGUGCUUCAAGGUGAGUGCCAAAGUUCUCUGUAGAUUUUUUGAACAAGAUAGCUAUGUAUAAAUUUUUUAUUUGUACUCCUGUGUACACUAUACUAUACUGUGAUUAUUUUUCCUUGUUUCUACAGAACAUUUAGUUGGAAAAUUGUAAUACAACAUGCAGAUAUUUGUAGAUUUAAAAAAAAAAUAAAGAUUAUAAAUUUAUUAAUUUUUUGACA